CCUACGGGUGACAGCAGUGGGGAAUAUUGCACAAUGGACGCAAGCCUUACCCAGCAACGCCGCGUGAAUGAAGAAGGUCUUCGGCUCGUAAACUUCUUUCAUUAGGGACGAAAAAAAUGACGGUACCUGAAUAAUAAGCCCCGGCUAACUACGUGCCAGCAGCCGCGGUAAUACGUAGGGGGCAAGCGUUGUCCGGAAUUACUGGGGGUAAAGGGUGAGUAGGCGGGAUGGUAAGCAAGAGGUGAAAACCUUGGGCUUAAACCGAGGGUUGCAUUUAAAACUGGCAAGCUUGAGUGCAGGAGAGGAAAGCGGAAUUCCUAGUGUAGCGGUGAAAUGCGUAGAUAUUAGGAAGAACAUCAGUGGCGAAGGCGGCUUUCUGGACUGAAACUGACGCUGAGGCACGAAAGUGUGGGGAGCGAACAGGAUUAGAUACCCUUGUAGUC
Molecule: ribosomal RNA, 443 nt
Filed under: uncultured bacterium
Lineage: Bacteria
Description: partial 16S ribosomal RNA
Rfam family: Bacterial small subunit ribosomal RNA
Source: RNAcentral